AUACGGAGGAUGCGAGCGUUAUCCGGAUUUAUUGGGUUUAAAGGGAGCGUAGGCGGGAGCUUAAGUCAGCGGUUAAAUGGUGCGGCUCAACCGUGCCCUGCCGUUGAAACUGGGUUUCUUGAGAGUGCAAGAGGCGGAUGGAAUUCAUGGUGUAGCGGUGAAAUGCUUAGAUAUCAUGAAGAACUCCGAUUGCGAAGGCAGUCCGCUGGGGCACGUCUGACGCUGCUGCUCGAAGGUGCGGGAAUCAAACAGGAUUAGAUACCCUGGUAGUCCGCACGGUAAACGAUGAUUACCCGCUGUCGGCGGCAGACAGUCGGCGGCCAAGCGAAAGCGAUAAGUAAUCCACCUGGGGAGUACGCCAGCAACGGUGAAACUCAAAGGAAUUGACGGGG
This 392-nucleotide ribosomal RNA is filed under the name uncultured bacterium. Its description in RNAcentral is "partial 16S ribosomal RNA". It matches the Rfam family "Bacterial small subunit ribosomal RNA", at positions 523 to 918 of the family's 1533-position model. The record is from RNAcentral.